CAAAUUUAAUUCCCAAUAUCCAGACUGUUCCCAUUCCAGAAAUCUGACAUUCACUGUUCCUUCUUUUGGAGAAGCAAGGAAAAAUAAUGUCCAUCUCUUGCAAAUGAAAGGUUUAAAGAGGAGUCUGGAUAUAAAGGAAAACUCUACUGCUUUCAUUUAGAUGACAUACAAUAAGAGUCUGAGAAUUCGGAGCUCUCAGGUCCUCAGAACAAUCCACUUCACAUCACUUCUGACACCACAAGAGUUAUCGGUUCAUUACAAAGGGUAUUAAAGGAUACAGACAAACAGCCUGGUGAGAGAUACAUAGAAAGAGACAAGUCUCUGGAAGGACAUGCACAAAAGAAUAUUGGACAGUGGUCAUUUUGGGGGAUGGAAGUAGGAAAUUUAAUUUUUACAUUUCUGUAUUACUUUUGUAUUUUAAAAGCCCCAAUUUAAAAUAUUGUGACCAAGUAAAAGCAAAGAAAACAAUGUAUGUAACAUGAACUCUGUGUUUACCACUACAGAAAUAAUUUCUCAAACUAUGGGACCUCUUUUCCUUGGGAAAAUAUGUAAUCAUUAAAACUAUGUGAAGGUUAUGUUUUAAAAUGUAAAACUAUUUUUAAAAACUAUGCACAGAAAAGAAAUUAUGUGAGGAAAAACACCAAUUAAUGAUAGUCAUUUUGGGGAAAUAGGCUACUAAAAUAUUUUAUUUUUCAGUAGUUUUCUCAUUGUCUAGUUAAGAAUAUAUUAUUUUUAUAAUGAGGAAAAUGUUCAUACAAACAAAACAUAGCAUGUUUCAGCAUGCCCUGAUUCUUUUCUUUGAGGAUGUGUGAUGCAAUAAAAAAUAGGUUGGCCUCCUGUGGCUUUUACAGAAACUUUUAGUUUGUGUUCCCUCCCACACCUAAGAAUUUUACCUUACAUUACGAAUAUCUGAUAGUUGGCUUUUUUUAAAGGAGGACAAGUUAACCUUUAAAUUGGUUAGAGUUUUGAUUAAGAAGAUACUUCUGUAUUGUGUUGUUAAAGGAACUUCUUCAGAUAGUGUAUCUAUUUGGAAAACAUUCCUUUUAAUUUAGAUAUCUACCCUGUUAGGUUUAUAAGGGGGAUAUGUGAAUUAAACUAACAAAAGAUAGAUUAACAGGAGAAAAAGUAUUUGAUUUUUUUUUUGUUUAAUGUGCUCAGGAGUUCACAGAAAAGAAGUGAAAAUUGAAGAAGCAGAGUUUAUAUACCCUUUUAACAAAAGAAAGGUGGUUUGGGCUUCAAGGGACAAAAACUGCUAGGAAGAGAAACUAAUAGAAGAUAAGGGUUAUUUUAGCCAGGUUUCAUAUAUGCAAACUCAUCUUUUUGGCUCCCUGUCUAAAAAUAAGGGUCACUCGUCUCUCCCUAGUGUUGGUAGUGGCUGUCGGUGGUGGGGUGAUUCUUAAUGCCUUCAAUUCAAAAUAAACCUUAUUCCAAAGUGGCAUAUUUUGGGAUGGUAUAUUCUUAACCCUUUCAAACAAAAGUGAGUAAAGCCAAAAUACCGACGGGGUAAAAGCUCACCAUUCUAUGCAAAGAAGUCAUUGCUGUGCAUAAUUUUAUGCUCUUUGGGGAAGCACGACAA
This is a non-coding RNA of Manis javanica (Malayan pangolin), 1576 nucleotides long. The record is from RefSeq and is a predicted model, not a curated record. NCBI's taxonomy places the organism in Eukaryota, Metazoa, Chordata, Mammalia, Pholidota, Manidae.